This is a transfer RNA of Sphaerobolus stellatus SS14, 82 nucleotides long. It matches the Rfam family "tRNA". From Rfam's summary of the family: Transfer RNA (tRNA) molecules are approximately 80 nucleotides in length. Their secondary structure includes four short double-helical elements and three loops (D, anti-codon, and T loops). Further hydrogen bonds mediate the characteristic L-shaped molecular structure. tRNAs have two regions of fundamental functional importance: the anti-codon, which is responsible for specific mRNA codon recognition, and the 3' end, to which the tRNAs corresponding amino acid is attached (by aminoacyl-tRNA synthetases). tRNAs cope with the degeneracy of the genetic code in two manners: having more than one tRNA (with a specific anti-codon) for a particular amino acid; and 'wobble' base-pairing, i.e. permitting non-standard base-pairing at the 3rd anti-codon position. The record is from Rfam. Lineage: Eukaryota; Fungi; Basidiomycota; Agaricomycetes; Geastrales; Sphaerobolaceae.
GACAAUGUAGCCAAGUGGUUACGGCGAUUGAUUAGAAAUCAAUUCCUCUUUGAGGGCGUAGGUUCAAAUCCUGCCAUUGUCG